RNAcentral lists this long non-coding RNA (187 nucleotides) under Zonotrichia albicollis (white-throated sparrow). RNAcentral's name for it is "lncRNA (ENSZALG00000017290.1)". The record is from RNAcentral. Lineage: Eukaryota; Metazoa; Chordata; Aves; Passeriformes; Passerellidae.
AUAAGGAACUGCACACUGGAACAGCACAGGGUAAGCGGGCUCUACUGCUGAGCAAGUUUACCCUCACCUUCAGAUAUGGCAAAUUACAGUUCUGGAUUUAAAGAAAGCUGGAAUUUACAUGGCGUUGCAAUUGAAAGAAGAUGAAGAACGUAAUUCUGAGGUACCUUCUCAGAAGUAAAAAUAAAAG